This 509-nucleotide long non-coding RNA is filed under the name Trifolium pratense (red clover). RNAcentral's name for it is "long non-coding RNA (TPRA_LNC003192)". Lineage: Eukaryota; Viridiplantae; Streptophyta; Magnoliopsida; Fabales; Fabaceae. The record is from RNAcentral.
AACGAAAAGCAAUAAACACAAGAUUAACUGAAUAAUUAUAAGUUUUCAUUGAAUAAACUAGAACACGUAGUUACAUGGCUCAGAUAGUUUCAAAGAGAAUCAUCUAUAAUUCCUAAUCUAAUGAGAUUAGUUACUCAUAAUUAAAUUAAUCAUCAUAGGAAAUAUGAAAUAAACCAUAUGAAGUGCAGCUCUCUCGGUGGUUUCAGCGUGAUGUUGUUUGCUUGAUCUCCACCUGCCGUUUUCCUCGUUUCCAAUUUUCUCUCCAAUGUCUGCGUUCCCUCUCUGCUGCUGUGCGUGAUGCCUUAUAUAUAUUAUCCAUGAAACCUAAUGUUUUCUUUUAGCCACAUAAGCCAAUCACAAUUUUACUUUCUUUUUGGGCCAGCAAACCGUUUUUGUUCUUUUCUUGGGCUAACAUUGUACUACAUGCCAUAUAUAUAAGACAUGCUAAAUAAUAUAAAAUAUAAAAUCAAAUAUUAUUUGCAACUCUUCUAUUUGGCAACGGCUGAUUG